CCUACGGGUGGCAGCAGUGGGGAAUAUUGGACAAUGGGGGGAACCCUGAUCCAGCCAUGCCGCGUGUGUGAAGAAGGCCCUCGGGUUGUAAAGCACUUUCAGUGAGGAAGAACGCCUGGUGGUUAAUACCCAUCAGGAAAGACAUCACUCACAGAAGAAGCACCGGCUAACUCCGUGCCAGCAGCCGCGGUAAUACGGAGGGUGCGAGCGUUAAUCGGAAUUACUGGGCGUAAAGCGCGCGUAGGUGGCUUGAUAAGCCGGUUGUGAAAGCCCCGGGCUCAACCUGGGAACGGCAUCCGGAACUGUCAAGCUAGAGUGCAGGAGAGGAAGGUAGAAUUCCCGGUGUAGCGGUGAAAUGCGUAGAGAUCGGGAGGAAUACCAGUGGCGAAGGCGGCCUUCUGGACUGACACUGACACUGAGGUGAGAAAGCGUGGGUAGCAAACAGGAUUAGAUACCCCGGUAGUC
Molecule: ribosomal RNA, 465 nt
Filed under: Vreelandella stevensii
Lineage: Bacteria; Pseudomonadati; Pseudomonadota; Gammaproteobacteria; Oceanospirillales; Halomonadaceae
Description: partial 16S ribosomal RNA
Rfam family: Bacterial small subunit ribosomal RNA
Source: RNAcentral